CGUAUCACUUAAAGCGAUUCAGCGGGUUACGAUUGACGGAGCGAAGCGACGUCAAAGCGUAUACAAAGUCGAGUCGGUUUAAGGAUACGUUCGUUGGGUAGGGGAGCGUUCUGUAAGCCCGUGAAGGUGGCCUGUGAGGGUUGCUGGAGGUAUCAGAAGUGCGAAUGCUGACAUAAGUAACGAUAAAGCGGGUGAAAAGCCCGCUCGCCGGAAGACCAAGGGUUCCUGUCCAACGUUAAUCGGGGCAGGGUGAGUCGACCCCUAAGGCGAGGCCGAAAGGCGUAGUCGAUGGGAAACGGGUUAAUAUUCCCGUACUUGGUGUUACUGCGAAGGGGGGACGGAGAAGGCUAUGUUGGCCGGGCGACGGUUGUCCCGGUUUAAGCGUGUAGGUGUGUGUUCCAGGUAAAUCCGGUUCACUUUAACACUGAGGCGUGACGACGAGGCACUACGGUGCUGAAGCAACAAAUGCCCUGCUUCCAGGAAAAGCCUCUAAGCAUCAGGUAACAUCAAAUCGUACCCCAAACCGACACAGGUGGUCAGGUAGAGAAUACCAAGGCGCUUGAGAGAACUCGGGUGAAGGAACUAGGCAAAAUGGUGCCGUAACUUCGGGAGAAGGCACGCUGACACGUAGGUGAAGUGAUUUACUCAUGGAGCUGAAGUCAGUCGAAGAUACCAGCUGGCUGCAACUGUUUAUUAAAAACACAGCACUGUGCAAACACGAAAGUGGACGUAUACGGUGUGACGCCUGCCCGGUGCCGGAAGGUUAAUUGAUGGGGUCAGCGCAAGCGAAGCUCCUGAUCGAAGCCCCGGUAAACGGCGGCCGUAACUAUAACGGUCCUAAGGUAGCGAAAUUCCUUGUCGGGUAAGUUCCGACCUGCACGAAUGGCGUAAUGAUGGCCAGGCUGUCUCCACCCGAGACUCAGUGAAAUUGAACUCGCUGUGAAGAUGCAGUGUACCCGCGGCAAGACGGAAAGACCCCGUGAACCUUUACUAUAGCUUGACACUGAACAUUGAGCCUUGAUGUGUAGGAUAGGUG
This 1036-nucleotide ribosomal RNA is filed under the name Salmonella enterica subsp. enterica serovar Saintpaul. RNAcentral describes it as "partial 23S ribosomal RNA". It matches the Rfam family "Bacterial large subunit ribosomal RNA", at positions 1154 to 2149 of the family's 2925-position model. Lineage: Bacteria; Pseudomonadati; Pseudomonadota; Gammaproteobacteria; Enterobacterales; Enterobacteriaceae. The record is from RNAcentral.